GCACCAGUUGAGUAGUAGUUAACUCAUUUCCCUCCCACUCUACACUUAGCAAGGAAGGAAAGGACCCGGGUGCAAAUCCCGGCUGGUGCA
Nemania serpens is the source of this 90-nucleotide non-coding RNA. The record is from the annotation of a GenBank genome assembly. NCBI's taxonomy places the organism in Eukaryota, Fungi, Ascomycota, Sordariomycetes, Xylariales, Xylariaceae.